UUGCUGUGAUGACUCUUAGGACACCUUUGGAGCACCCAUGAAAAAAAAAACAAACCAAAACCAAAGUUGGUUCUGAGCAAC
This 81-nucleotide small nucleolar RNA is filed under the name Leptosomus discolor (cuckoo roller). RNAcentral describes it as "Small nucleolar RNA SNORD58". It matches the Rfam family "Small nucleolar RNA SNORD58". Rfam says of the family: snoRNA U58 is found in introns 1, 3 and 6 of the ribosomal protein RPL17 gene in humans. U58 is a member of the C/D class of snoRNA which contain C (UGAUGA) and D (CUGA) box motifs. Lineage: Eukaryota; Metazoa; Chordata; Aves; Leptosomiformes; Leptosomidae. The record is from Rfam by way of RNAcentral.